GAUGAAGAACGUAGCGAAAUGCGAUAAGUAAUGCGGAUUGCAGAAUUUCCGUGAGUCAUCGAAUCUUUGAACGCACAUUGCGCCCACUGGUAUUCCGGUGGGCAUGCCUGUUCGAGCGUCAUUAUCCUCCCUCAAACCUCUGUGUUUGGUGUUGGGCCGCGUUGGCGUCACAGCCAACUGGUCUCAAAGACAAUGACGGCGUCCGUGGGACCCUCUUCGCAACGAGCAUCUUCGGAAGCACGCGUCGAGUCUAAAGGACCUUCCGGGCCGGUCUACCCUUUAUCUUUCUAAGGUUGACCUCGGAUCAGGUAGGAAUACCCGCUGAACUUAAGCAUAUCAAUAAGCGGAGGA
RNAcentral lists this unclassified non-coding RNA (351 nucleotides) under soil metagenome. Its description in RNAcentral is "partial contains 5.8S ribosomal RNA, internal transcribed spacer 2, and large subunit ribosomal RNA". The stretch from base 1 to 121 matches the Rfam family "5.8S ribosomal RNA", at positions 35 to 154 of the family's 154-position model. The record is from RNAcentral.